Molecule: ribosomal RNA, 495 nt
Filed under: uncultured bacterium
Lineage: Bacteria
Description: partial 16S ribosomal RNA
Rfam family: Bacterial small subunit ribosomal RNA
Source: RNAcentral
UGACCGCUGGCGGCGUGCCUCAUACAUGCAAGUCGAGCGAACAGACGAGGAGCUUGCUCCUCUGACGUUAGCGGCGGACGGGUGAGUAACACGUGGAUAACCUACCUAUAAGACUGGGAUAACUUCGGGAAACCGGAGCUAAUACCGGAUAAUAUAUUGAACCGCAUGGUUCAAUAGUGAAAGACGGUUUUGCUGUCACUUAUAGAUGGAUCCGCGCCGCAUUAGCUAGUUGGUAAGGUAACAGCUUACCAAGGCAACGAUGCGUAGCCGACCUGAGAGGGUGAUCGGCCACACUGGAACUGAGACACGGUCCAGACUCCUACGGGAGGCAGCAGUAGGGAAUCUUCCGCAAUGGGCGAAAGCCUGACGGAGCAACGCCGCGUGAGUGAUGAAGGUCUUCGGAUCGUAAAACUCUGUUAUUAGGGAAGAACAAAUGUGUAAGUAACUAUGCACGUCUUGACGGUACCUAAUCAGAAAGCCACGGCUAACUACGUG